This 37-nucleotide non-coding RNA is filed under the name Prevotella sp. oral taxon 317 str. F0108. The record is from RNAcentral. Lineage: Bacteria; Pseudomonadati; Bacteroidota; Bacteroidia; Bacteroidales; Prevotellaceae.
GUGCGAGUGCAUCAUCCAUUAAAACAAGGAUUAAAAC